Molecule: RNA transcript, 5014 nt
Organism: Musa acuminata AAA Group (dessert banana)
Lineage: Eukaryota; Viridiplantae; Streptophyta; Magnoliopsida; Zingiberales; Musaceae
Gene name: zinc finger protein VAR3, chloroplastic-like
Exons: 12
Source: RefSeq, a predicted model, not a curated record
AACCGACGGUCCCGGGACCGUCAUCCCCAGAAAUGGGGCAGGCGGGUAGGAUGGCUGGGAGUGGAAGUCCUUCUCUUCCCUAAUUUCCACCAUGGCCGCCCGACCGAGGCUUCUCCACCUGAGCUCCUCCUUCUUCUUCUUCACCUGAAAGCGUGGCGCCCGCUCCAUUUUCUUCCCUUCCCUGCUCCUCCCCUCUUCUCCUUCCCGCCGCCGCCUCCUCUUCUCCUUCCCCAUCGCACCAUCCCUCGCCCCCGGACACCCUCUUCCAGGGCCCCGAUUCCGUUCCUCCCCCUCCGCGGCGUCCAUCACCGUCGACGGUCCCCCCGUAAGCUUCGACGAUUCUUCUUCCGCUUCCUCCCACCACUGGCCCGAAUGGGAGCGGUUCCUCGGCAAGUUGAGGGGAAAAGGUUACUUCGAGGUGUCCACUUCGGCGGCUCCCUCAGGAGAUGUGGAGGAUGAGGGCUCGAGUGUCUCGGCGGGGCACGGUGGCUCGUCCGUGGAGGUGAACCAUGUCAAGAACGCAUGCCUCAAGUUUGCUCGCGGGCGGUUCAACAUCUUCAGAUAUUCGGGCUGCUGUGGAGUGUGGAUGCCGUAAUGUGUUCCGCAAAGCUGUCGAUUCAGCAAAAAGAUUGAGAGCAUUUCUCCAGGUUGAUGAACGAGACGUCUGUAGUACCUGCAACCUAAGAGAAUCUUGCGGCAAAGCAUACAUAACACCAUAUGAUGAUCGAGGCCAUACCUUGGAUGCAGUUCGUAUUUUAUUGAGCUAUGCAGUAAAUCCAAAGCAUCUUUGUGGAGAGGAAAUUUCUUGUAUCAAAGAACAUGUUCAAAAGUCUGCUAGACAUCUAUUAUUGGAGCUUGUUUAGCUUAGUGAUACAGCCAUUGAUCCGUCUGUUCCGAAAUCUGCAGUGAAGCCUUCUAUUCCAAAAGAACGAUCUCAAAAGGCUACUGGUAAGGGCGACAGGGCAGCUAAUGUGGAGAUGAAGAGAGGUGAUUGGUUGUGUCCAAAUUGCAACUUUCUCAAUUUCACCUGAAAUCUUUGCUGUCUAGAGUGCAAUGAAGAUGGGACCAAAGAGAGUAAAUGUAGGUGCUGCUGCUGAAAUGUUGUUGGGAGACUGGACUUGUCCACAGUGUGUGUUUGUGAACUUUGCUCGCAAUAGCAAGUGCUUUUGCUGCCAGGAACCACAACCAAAGAGAGUUAAAUCCCGGAGAGUGGGAGUGCCCCUCAUGCUAUUACUCGAACUUCAGGAAAAACAAGGCGUUCAAGAAGUGCAACUGUGACCGCCCUGACGAUCGGAGCAAUUUGUUUGAUGACCAUUCAUGGAGAUCUGGAAAGGUCCACCAAGAACAACACUUUAAAGUUUGGAGAUACCGAUGAUAAUAAUGAUGAAAUUGAUGACAAUGAUGAUGACAUAUUGCCUCUAUCGAAAGGGCAACUCCGUCUGAGAGGAAGACUAACCCCUGCUAGAAACUGAAGUAUGGUUUGGCGCUUGGAAGUGUUUUUGACAUCCUUCUCAAGUCGAAUAGCUCUCCCCCAUAUUCCACUGUAAAUCUGGACACCGGAUGACGGCUUGGCAGAUGUAUUUCUAUUUGUAUAAACAAACUGUCAUGACAAUGAUGCAGAUAACUGUCUGAUCAAAGACGGUUGUAGGAAAAGCCUGAUCCAACUUUUUCAUAUAUAUGGGUCGGCAAAGAUGGUUUAUGCCUUUUGUUCCACGCAAUGAAACUGUGGUGAAGCUUCAAGAAUACAGGGCUCAAUCUGAUCAACCCUGUCCUGUAUCGGUUAAUGGCUGAGCGUUCAGGGGGAACACCUCAGGAAUUUUUCGUGGAGAAAGAAGGUGGAAUGCAUCCCUGAGUGCACAUAACACGUUCGACAAAACAGCGAAUUCCAUACGGGCCACACAAUUUGUCGUCGGAGCUCACCGAGGAGGAGGAUGAUGAAAAGUAUCAAGUAUUAUUAUUAUAGGAAGCAAUUCUGAUAACGCUGCUGGCAGAAGCUAUGCAGAAGCUCAUCAACUACUACUAACAAUCUGUUGAUUUAUUCAUUCGAUGACCAGGUUAUUCUCAUACUUCAUUCAUGUUGCUCUCCGUCCUUCAUGCAGAUUGUGAUCAAAUAGCGAUGCUACGCUGCGGUGACCGCGAUCUUCAUGCCGGACUGGCAGUGGCCGGCGAAGCUGCAGAUGAAGUAGUUGGUGCCUCGGGCCAGCGUGAUGCGGUCCUUCCCGGAAGUGUAGACCCUGGAGCCCUUGGGAGCCGAGCAGCUAUUGUAGCCGGCCGCGCUCACCGCCACCACGUUGUGAACCGACGGGUUAUAGUUGAACACUGCCGCAGAUCGGUCAGUACCAUUAGUAAUAAUGCAAAAAUAAGUAUGCACGCAGCAGGGCAGCCAUCACUUACCGAGCACAUCGCCGGCUCUGAAGCUCUUCCCCCUGGGCCAGCUGGCGACGUUGAAGGUCCAUCCGCUGUUGCCGCCGACGACGUAGGUGGCGGCCUCGGCCACCUCGCUGUGGAUGAGGAGACACAGCAGGGCCAGCCCCAGAGCCACGACACUGCCCCUUCCCUGAGCCAUCACAACGCCCCGCUCAGAAGCCAAGACCGACUCUUCCGAGCAAGUGCAGUGGAGGUGAAGAUCUCGUUUGUGAAGCUCCGAGGAGGGGGGGGGGGAGGCUUUUUAUAGGCGUCGGAGUGAGGGUGGUGGAGGAAUGGGCCCCGCCCGGGUUGGUCGAAGGCUGGCAACUAUCCAUUACAAGGCCAAAGAUUUGGACCGGGGAGGAGUCGUCGCUUGGAAAGCAGUCGACAGCAGACGAUGUCAAGAGUUUGGCAUAUUUCCAUGAAUGCUUCAAUUCUUGGGUGGGUCGGCGAUACUACGGAGGAGGGUAUCGUCUAUGGGGUCUUAUCACUUGGAAAACAACGUCCCCUCGCCGGGAAAUAUGGAAGCUAGCGGAUGAGAUACUUCUGGUGUCACGUGGCAUAAUCAUAGGCCAAUCCUGAACCUGGUCAUCGUGAUGCAGUUCCGCCGUACAAGACCACACGUGCGCUAACAAUAGCAUCGCCACCCUCAUUUUGCGUCGACAAAACACACGAGCAGAAAAGCAGAGUACAAAGUUUGCACGCCUACAAAGACUCGAUUCACAGUGUCUCAGAUAGUGGAAAGAAGAGCGAAAGGAAGAUUUCUGUUAUUUGGGCAUUGUCAUUGAAGCUCCUUCCUCGCACGUUCAGCCGUCCUACUCGAAAAGUCCUCUUCGGGUCCUCACGGAGAUGGCUUUCUUUCCUGCACAACUCAACCGCUGUGAGACUCUAAACUUAUCUUCAGGAGUUGAAAGGAAGGACCCAAGUAAGAUUCCGGAUGCUCGUCAGGUGAACCACCUCCUAAGGAUGCAUGGAGCCACCCCCCAUCUUCUUCGUUCGUAUCAUCUUCUUCCUCGCUCGAAUCUGAGCUCCAAGAAGAAUUGUCGACGCUGGCUGCUGCCUUGGGCUCCUCCACCUCCUCAAUUCUGCUUUGGCCACCGGAUUCAUUGUCGGGAUCAGAGCCUCUUCCUUGGGACUCCGAUCGGCAGAGCUCCACCGCGGCCCUUGCAGCUGCCGCAGCAAAGGCUGCUGCUUCGAAGGCAUCCUUCGCUGCACUGGCCACAUCUUCAUACUUCUGAGGCGUUCUCAUCGAAAGGUUCUCAUCAGAUUUGAGCUGCUCCUGUACGAGAUUUACUGGUGGAUCUCCCUGAAUCAUUGCAGAUUAGGCAUGGCAUGUAUGACUGCGAAGCACGAUGAAUUCGGAUGUAUUGGUAUACAUACGUACCCCUGCAUCCUCAGUACAAGGAUCAUAGUAAUCAAGAUUGAUGCCCGUCUCGGCAGCGAUCUCCUUCGUCACCCGCUGUCGGAUUUCCAGGCUUGGCUGCCUGGUCGACAGCUUCUGAAUCAUCUGCAGGAGAUGAUCGCUCUCAUUACAGAACAUGGAAGACGACAACACUGCUCUAAACCAAAGCAUUACUGUAUACCUUGGGAUUGACACGGCAAUUGUUCCUCAGCUCCACGGCCGCCGACACGAGUUCCUUGCCAUACCUGGAGGAGAAGAUGCCUCGGGCCUUAUCCAGCUCCGGCAAUUCUGCGCAUCUCGAUGCCGCAAAGCUCAGACUCGAGAUCGCCUCCCGCAGCUCCUCCGGGCACUCCCUGCAUCGAACUCGGCUCGGGGUAACAAGAACAGGAGCAGCUGCUGCACUAAAGUAAUUAAGGAGACCAGAGAUGAGAGCAGUCACUUGUGAUCCAAGAGCACAAAUCUCUCGAUCAGCAGUUGGCAAUAGUGCUCCGACAUAACGAACACGUCCACCAUGUUCUGCUCCUUGAUUACAUGCUCCACCUGCAACGGCGUCAGUGGUCGCUCGCACGCAUACAAGGAAGCAACCAGCACUGGUGCGGUGCCUUGGAGGAGUCGGUACGUACGCGGAGGAGGGCAUGGUCGACGUGGCCGAGCUGGAGUAGCUGGGCGACGUCGGUGCGCGCCUGGUUGCACCGGACCUGACGGCGGUUGCGGAGGACGGCCAGGCGGGAGACGGUGAGGCCCAGCAGGGUCUUCAGCUUCGACAUCUGCCUCGACUUCCUUCCUAGUAGAGCGUCCAGCUUCCUUCCCAUCUCUGCUUCCUUCCUCUCUCACCACAGUCGGAUCAAGCCUUCCUGUGUGCUACAAGUGCACAUAUAUGAAGCUGAGAUGAGCAAAGGGUGAUUGCUUGAAGACCAAGGAUGGAUUCGACGAUGAUGAUCGAGAAGGGUUUAGGUGAGGGGAUCAAAAGUGAUCCCUUUCAAUGGGUUGGCGAGGUAUGGAGUGUGUUGUCAUCUUGGACCCCAACUCCUGCUGCAAUCGCCCUGCGUUGCCUUGUGUAGCAGCCAACUUAGGAUACGUUUAAUUGGUUUAAGCUUUGAGUUUAUGCACUGAGUGCUGAUUCUUUUGGGGAAGGUUGUGUGUGUAUGGGAACAAAGAGAAAGAACUAAGGCUUUUGGAGAACGCAUUCCGCCGAGUGCAAAAGAA